GUGUUGUAUGAAAGGAGAGAAGGUUAGCACUCCCCUUGACAAGGAUGGAAGAGGCCUUCAGGCCUAACAACACGCAUACGGUUAAGGCAUUGCCACUUACUUCGUGGCAUCUAACCACUGUUAAAA
Molecule: small nuclear RNA, 126 nt
Organism: Delphinapterus leucas (beluga whale)
Lineage: Eukaryota; Metazoa; Chordata; Mammalia; Artiodactyla; Monodontidae
Source: Ensembl